UUCAGUGUUCGAUACCGGAGAGGGAGCCUUAGAAACGGCUACCACAUCUAAGGAAGGCAGCAGGCGCGCAAAUUACCCACUCUCAGAACGAGGAGGUAGUGAAUUUAAAUAGCGAUGAUGAACUCUUAUGAGGCUCGUCAAUCGAAAUGAGUACAAUUUAAAUCCUUUAACGAGUACCAAUUGGAGGGCAAGUCUGGUGCCAGCAGCCGCGGUAAUUCCAGCUCCAAUAGCGAAUAUUAAAUUUGUUGCAGUUAAAAAGCUCGUAGUUGGAUCCAAGGUUAGGCAUGCCUGUCUGUUCUUAGUAGCAUGACUGUGUGUGUCUGCCUUUAUUAGUUGAAUGUUCAUUAUGGUGGUCUUCAUCGACUGCUAUGAUGUGCUCAACACGUUUACCUUGAAAAAAUCAGAGCGAUCAAGGCAGGCCUUCGUGCUUGUAUGUUGUUGCAAGGAAUAAUAGAAUAGGACUUCGGUUCUAUUUUGUUGGUUUUGAGAAUUGAAGUAAUGAACAAUAGAGACAGUCGGGGGCAUUUGUAUGGUGGCGUUAGAGGUGAAAUUCUGAGAUCGUCGCCAGACAAACUACUGCGAAAGCAUUUGCCAAGGAUGUCUUCAUUAAUCAAGAACGAAAGUCAGAGGUUCGAAGACGAUCAGAUACCGUCCUAGUUCUGACCAUAAACGAUGCCGACCUACAAUCGGGGGUGGUUUAUUAUAUUGACCCUCCCGGCUGUCCUCAGGAAACUUUAAGUUGGUUCUGGGGGGAAUAUGGUCUCAAGACUGAAACUUAAAGGAAUUGACGGAAGGGCACCACCAGGAGUGGAGCCUGCGGCUUAAUUUGACACAACACGGGGAAUCUCACCCGGUCCGGACACUGGUAGGAUGGACAGAUUGAUAGCUCUUUCUUGAUUCAGUGGGUGGUGGUGCAUGGCCGUUCUUAGUUGGUGGAGUGAUUUGUCUGGUUAAUUCCGAUAACGAACGAGACUCUGUCCUGCUAAAUAGUCCAGUGGCAUCAAUCACUAUGUGAUUACAGCUGCUGUUACUUCUUAGAGGGAUUCGCGGAUUUAAACCGCAAGAAAUAGAGCAAUAACAGGUCUGUGAUGCCCUUAGAUGUCCGGGGCCGCACGCGCGCUACAUUGACAGUAGAAGCGAGUAUUUCUACCUGGUUCGAAAGAAUUGGGAAAUCUUCGAAUUACUGUCUCCACAGGGAUUGAGGUUUGCAAUUUUGCCUCAUGAACGGGGAAUUCCCAGUAGGCGCAAGUCAUCAGCUUGCGUCGAUUACGUCCCUGCCCUUUGUACACACCGCCCGUCGCUACUACCGAUUGAGUGCAUUAGUGAGGACCUCGGAUUGAGAACAUAGUGGCGCAAGUUACUUUGUUUUCGAAAAGUGGUUCAAAUUUGUGCAUUUAGAGAUAGUAAAAGUCGUAACAAGGUU
Molecule: ribosomal RNA, 1423 nt
Filed under: metagenome
Description: SSU rRNA
Rfam family: Eukaryotic small subunit ribosomal RNA
Source: RNAcentral